AUACGGAGGAUGCAAGCGUUAUCCGGAUUUAUUGGGUUUAAAGGGUGCGUAGGCGGAUGAUUAAGCGUGAGGUGAAAUGCCACUGCUCAACAGUGGAACUGCCUCGCGAACUGGUUGUCUUGAAUGCUCCUGCCGUGGGAGGAAUGUGUGGUGUAGCGGUGAAAUGCAUAGAGAUCACACAGAACACCGAUUGCGAAGGCAUCUCACGAAGGGGUGAUUGACGCUGAGGCACGGAAGCGUGGGGAUCAAACAGGAUUAGAUACCCUGGUAGUCCGCACAGUAAACGAUGAUAACUAGUUGUUGGCGAUAAACAGAUCAGUAACUGAGCGAAAGCGUUAAGUUAUCCACCUGGGGAGUACGACCGCAAGGUUGAAACUCAAAGGAAUUGACGGGG
RNAcentral lists this ribosomal RNA (394 nucleotides) under uncultured bacterium. RNAcentral describes it as "partial 16S ribosomal RNA". It matches the Rfam family "Bacterial small subunit ribosomal RNA", at positions 523 to 918 of the family's 1533-position model. The record is from RNAcentral.